RNAcentral lists this ribosomal RNA (331 nucleotides) under uncultured Actinomycetes bacterium. Its description in RNAcentral is "bacterial SSU rRNA". It matches the Rfam family "Bacterial small subunit ribosomal RNA", at positions 28 to 351 of the family's 1533-position model. Lineage: Bacteria; Bacillati; Actinomycetota; Actinomycetes. The record is from RNAcentral.
GACGAACGCUGGCGGCGUGCUUAACACAUGCAAGUCGAGCGAGAAAGCACCUUCGGGUGUGAGUACAGCGGCGAACGGGUGAGUAACACGUGGGCAACCUGCCCCAAGGACCGGGACAACAGCUCGAAAGGGCUGCUAAUACCGGAUGUUGUGCGAUCUGCCAAGUGGAUCGCACCAAAUGGUAGCUUCGGCCUCCGCCUUGGGAUGGGCCCGCGGCGCAUUAGCUUGUUGGUGAGGUAACGGCUCACCAAGGCGACGAUGCGUAGCUGGUCUGAGAGGACGAUCAGCCACACUGGGACUGAGACACGGCCCAGACUCCUACGGGUGGCUG